This 520-nucleotide unclassified non-coding RNA is filed under the name uncultured Glomus. RNAcentral's name for it is "SSU rRNA". It matches the Rfam family "Eukaryotic small subunit ribosomal RNA", at positions 569 to 1091 of the family's 1831-position model. Lineage: Eukaryota; Fungi; Glomeromycota; Glomeromycetes; Glomerales; Glomeraceae. The record is from RNAcentral.
AGCAGCCGCGGUAAUUCCAGCUCCAAUAGCGUAUAUUAAAGUUGUUGCAGUUAAAAAGCUCGUAGUUGAAUUUCGAGAUCAAAUUGUUGGUCGUGCCUUGGUACGCACUGGCAUUAUUGGUUUCUCCCUUCUGACGAAUCAUGAUGUCAUUAAUUUGGUGUCUUGGGGAAUCAGGACUGUUACUUUGAAAAAAUUAGAGUGUUUAAAGCAGGCUCACGCUUGAAUACAUUAGCAUGGAAUAAUGAAAUAGGACGUUUGAUUCUAUUUUGUUGGUUUCUAGGAUCGACGUAAUGAUUAAUAGGGAUAGUUGGGGGCAUUAGUAUUCAAUUGUCAGAGGUGAAAUUCUUGGAUUUAUUGAAGACUAACUACUGCGAAAGCAUUUGCCAAGGAUGUUUUCAUUAAUCAAGAACGAAAGUUAGGGGAUCGAAGACGAUCAGAUACUGUCGUAGUCUUAACCAUAAACUAUGUCGACUAGGGAUCGGAUGAUGUUAAUUUUUUAAUGACUCAUUCGGCGCCUUAU